UACGAAGGGUGCAAGCGUUACUCGGAAUUACUGGGCGUAAAGCGUGCGUAGGUGGUUUGUUAAGUCCGUUGUGAAAGCCCUGGGCUCAACCUGGGAAUGGCAGUGGAUACUGGCGAGCUAGAGUGCGGUAGAGGGUAGUGGAAUUCCCGGUGUAGCAGUGAAAUGCGUAGAGAUCGGGAGGAACACCAGUGGCGAAGGCGGCUACCUGGACCAGCACUGACACUGAGGCACGAAAGCGUGGGGAGCAAACAGG
This 253-nucleotide ribosomal RNA is filed under the name uncultured bacterium. RNAcentral's name for it is "partial 16S ribosomal RNA". It matches the Rfam family "Bacterial small subunit ribosomal RNA", at positions 524 to 776 of the family's 1533-position model. The record is from RNAcentral.